GAGGUUCUCAUUGCAGCUCUGAUAUAAUGACACUUUUAGCAGAAACUCUUUCAGGAGCCUGGAUUAAAAAGCAGGAAGAAGAGGGUCCCAGCAGAUGAAGGAUUUAAGGGUUGUGACAAAAGAUGAAAAAUCGAAGAGUACAUUUCCCAUGGAAAAAUCAAACUAACACAGAGAACCGUCUAGCCAAUAUUCAAUAUUGCAUACACAUAUCCAAAGAAUGCCCUGUAGAGAAUUGGAAUUAAGUCUUUACAUGCAUGUAUUUCACUUGUAAUGUGUACAUUUACAUUUUAUGCAAAGAACCUUUAUAUUAAAACAAGGAUUUUAUUUUCCACACA
This is a long non-coding RNA of Xenopus laevis (African clawed frog), 335 nucleotides long. RefSeq lists it as uncharacterized. NCBI's taxonomy places the organism in Eukaryota, Metazoa, Chordata, Amphibia, Anura, Pipidae. The record is from RefSeq and is a predicted model, not a curated record. The transcript has 3 exons.